This 1377-nucleotide long non-coding RNA is filed under the name Equus caballus (horse). Its description in RNAcentral is "lncRNA (ENSECAG00000033514.3)". Lineage: Eukaryota; Metazoa; Chordata; Mammalia; Perissodactyla; Equidae. The record is from RNAcentral.
GAUAGACUCCUCGCUACUUGCUCUUGGUUGAACCUAGGAUGAUCUCAGCUUUUGAUCCAUUUGGGCUUGCCUUGAUUUUUGGACCUGACAGCUUUUGGGAUCUAUCUUUGGGACUGAAAAGACCUUACUCUUAGACUGGUUUUCUUUAUCACGACUACUGGUAAAAGAGCCUGGAUUCCAACAGUGAAGGGGAAGCCAGCAGGCAGGGGUGGGGUGGGAGGUUGGAUAAUAUGCUUAGAGUGAGCAACUCACCCUCAGCUCCUCCUAGCUUCGCCUCAACCCUUGGUGUUCGUCCACCUCUCUCCUGCCCCAGUCCACCUGUGUGAGGCAGGCUGUUUGUAGCUUGAAAUUGCUGCAGUGGGAGGAUUUACACCAUGGAAUUUGCAAAUGCUACAAAUCAAGGUCUUCACUGUGCUCCAGCUGCAGUAUCAGUGGAAUUGUGUGAUGUGGAUAUGAUGGAAGGAAAGGCAUUCAACACCAACAUCUUUCCGGAUGCCUGGCAGCACCAGUUACCACUGCAGUGGCUGGGCCUGGGUCCAGGAAGGGAGCUUUCUUCCCUUGGAAAGAAAAGAUGGCAUCUGCCACUGGGGAAGAGCCUUAUGCCCCAGCCCAAGGAAGGUGGAUUGGAAUUGGAAAGGUGGCUAGAGCUCCCAUUAUUCCUGUUUUGUAGAGGUGGGCCCAGAAAAAUGACAGAAGACACCCAAGCUCCAGCAGCAGAUUUGUGACCCAGCCUCCUUUUGGCCUUCAGUGGGGUGAAGAGAAGUGUGAGUUGUGCCUGGUGUCUUCCAUCAGCCCUGAGCCGCCCAGGGCCGAGCUGGGGGACAGAUAGCAGCACACAGAGCUUCAUUUUCCUCAGCUCUUCAGCCACGUCAAACACUUCUUACAAUAAUAGACUCCAAUGUGCGGUUGAUGUCCAGGACAGACAGAGGUCUUGGCAGAAGCUGGGAUUGCUUUCCCAUUUCACUGAGUUUAUAAAAAUGACAUUUUUGAACUUUAAAUCUUAGCAUUCAUGACCCUUAGUAUUUUCCCUCUUUUUGUCACUCGCUUCUUUGAAGAUCAAGUCACCUAUUCCUCCAGCUUAAGACAAUGUUUCAGGUGAUAAGAAAAGACAAAACAUCAGAGACCCCAGAGGUGCCAAUUGUCUACUCCUUUCAUGCUAACAACUUGCAUUUCUACUCAUUGGUUACAGAAAAGUAACUACCUCUUUCUCUCAGCGUGCUGUGGGGGGCUUUGUCUGUGCCAAAGUAGCUAGAUCAGACUUUUUAAUGAGCAAGACUCAAAAAAAGUAAAUUGACUUUUUACAGGGAAACAGGCCAUUCCUCAAAAACUGUUAAAGAUUCUGUCAUCCAGAAUAUCCCUAUCCUGUUGACCUUAUUU